CAGGUGGCAAGUGAAGGACCUUCAGACUACGGACUGACUCUGCCCAACUAGGCUGGCCCUUGGAAACUCCAGGAAGAGGUAGAAGAAGGCUGAGCUAUGAACUUGAGUGACUUGGGGCUCCUGAGCUGUGUCAUGUUUGUGUGAUUCUUCCAGACCCUCCAGGUGUCCUUAUUUUCCAGGAUUUACAGAAGCUGUCCCAGUUUCAGAUUUGAUCCUGGAAUGUCCCACUUUAGGACGUCCCUAUUUUCAUCAGAGAAAUGUUGGAGGGUACGGAGUUCUGUGACCCUCGAACCAAGGAGAUAAGUAACAGUACAACCUUUAGAAGACAUCUGAAGGCAGCCCUGUACAGUGCUACCUCUGGUUAUGUACUUAAUUCGUUCCGGAGGUCCGUUCUUAACCUAACACUAUUCUUAACCUGAAGCACCACUUUAGCUAAAGGGGCCUCCCGCCGCUGCUGCCGCGCCGCCGCUGCACGAUUUCUGUUCUCAUCCUGAAGCAAAGUUCUUAACUCGAGGUACUAUUUUUGGGUUAGCGGAGUCUGUAACCUGAAGUGUAUGUAACCUGAAGCAUCUGUAACCCGAGGUACCACUGUAUAGAGAAGUUCUUAAAUGGUUAAUGUUUUAUUAUGUUUUUAUAUAUGUUUGGAAGCCACUCAUAGUUGGGGCAAUCCAGUCAGAUGGACGGGGUAUAAAUAUUAUUAUAAUUAAUAUUAUUAAUAUUAUUAAAUAGGAUGUCCCUAUUUUCAUUGGAGAAAUGUUGGAGGGUAUGUUAUUCUUCCAUGCUGAUGUCUGGCUUGUCCACUUAUUCUGAGGCAGGCUGAAAAUCUAAACCACUUAGCUAGGAAGAAACCCCACUGAACUCAAACGGACUUACUUCUGAGUAGACAUGGCUAGAAUUGCACUGUCACUCCUCAGUCCCCUGACUGCUGCUCAUGCGCCAGGCCUGACAGGAUGUGGGCAGUUGAAUCUUCCCACAUGGUUAUCUUCCCAUAUUGCAUCAUUUCAAGCUCCUUUUUCUUAGCGCUGAGCUGGGGUUGAAUACAGCGAGACUUCUUCCCAACUCUGCUGCCCACUUCUUGAAAACUGUUACUUCACUGGGGCCAUAUUUGUCAGGUGAUUUCCAGCAGGAAGAUGGCACUGGGGGGAAAGGAUUUAAACCCCUCUCCCCCAGGGCUGCAAUCCUGAUCUGGAUGUGCAGGCUCCCACAGCUGUGAUUUGCAAAAGGACAAAACACCCCACAUGCCAUGGGAAGGGUCAGGCAUGAGACUUCUACAUAAUGUCACAACUUAAUCACCCCUCUCUCUCUCUCUCUCUCUCCCGCCCCAGGAAUCCUGGGACUUAUAGCUGGCUUAUACUGAGUCAGACCAUUGGUCCAUCUAGCUUACUACCGUCUCUAAUAAUAAUAAUUAUUAUUUUUUAUUUAUACCCCGCCCAUCUGGCUGGGUUUCCCCAGCAUCCUUGGGCGGCUUCCAACAAAAUAUUAAAAUACCAUAAUGCAUCAAACAUUAAAAGCUUCCCUAAACAGGGCUGCCUUCAGAUGUUGUCUAAAAGUCUGGUAGUUGUUGUUCUCUUUGACAUCUGGUGGGAGGGUGUUCCACAGGGCAGGUGCCACUACCGAGAAGGCCCUCUGCCUGGUUCCCCGUAACUUGGCUUCUCGCAGUGAGGGAACCGCCAGAAGGCCCUCAGAAGGCAGAACAAUGGGGGUGGAGAUGCUCCUUCAGAUAUACUGGGCUGAGGCCGUUUAGGGCUUUAAAGGUCAGCACCAACACUUUGAAUUGUGCUCGGAAACGUACUGGGAGCCAAUGUAGAUCUUUUAAGACCGGUGUUAUGUGGUCUCAGAGGCCACUCCCAGUCACCAGUCUAGCUGCCACAUUCUGGAUUAACUGCAGUUUCCGGGUCACCUUCAAAUGUAGCCCCACAUAGAGCGCAUUGUAGUAGUCCAAGCGGGAGAUAACCAGAGCAUGCACCACUCUGGCGAGACAGUCUGCGGGCAGGUAGGGUCUUAGCCUGCGUACCAGGUGGAGCUGGUAGACAGCUGCUCUGGACACAGAAUUGACCUGCGCCUCCAUGGACAGCUGUGAGUCCAAAAUGACUCCCAGGCUGCGCACCUUCAGGGGCACAGUUACCCCAUUCAGGACCAGGGAAUCCUCCACCCCCGCCCGCCUCCUGUUUCCCAAAAACAGUACUUCUGUCUUGUCAGGAUUCAACCUCAAUCUGUUAGCCACCAUCCAUCCUUCAACCACCUCCAGACACUCACACAGGACCUUUACCGCCUUAACUGGUUCUGAUUUGAAAGAGAGGUAGAGCUGGGUAUCAUCUGCCUUUUGAUGGACCCCCAGCCUAAACCCCCUGAUGAUUUCUCCCAGUGCCUGCAUGUAUACCUUGAAAAGCAUGUCUACACUGACUGACAGAAGCUUUCUGGGGUUUCAGGCAGGAGACACUCCCAGACCUACCAGGAGCUGCCGGGGAUUGAACCUGAGUAAGGCAGUUUCCAAAGUUCCUAUGUUCCGCGCUACUGGCACAAAUGAAAAAACUACACAGUGUGGUUAAGUGCUGUUGUUGUUGCCAUUUAUAAUAAAAUAUAAUUUCCCCUUUGCUCUUUUGUGCAGGAUUAUGUAAUGCAGAAUAUGAUUAUAAUUCACAGCUCCAUAUAGCAGAGAGGAAUGGUGCACCAGACAUUAAACCAAGCAAACUGUCUGGCUACAGAGCCCCACUUGAUCGCCAACAUUUAUUCCGUUAAGUAAGAUCCUGGCAACGCUUCCCUGCACUUCGCAUCCCUUCUCCUCUUGCAACAGAAUGCCUUCCAUGCUGGGCUUGCUUAUCCCACCAAGCAUGACCUCAGGGUAUAUUUUGAUACCAUAGUGCAGCAGCAACCGCCGUGAAACCAUGUGACAAACCAAAUUCAAAAUAACCCAAGACAGAGAUGAUGAGAUACAUUAGCUCAUGUCCAGUAAUCAUCACCCCUGCCAGAAAAUCUCUUAUCCUAUUGUCCUGAGCUUUCCAGUCAUCUUCCAUUUCACCCCAAAGGGAGUAGAUGGAAAUACUUGCUGCUUUGGGGUACCCAGAUGAUUGGACAUAGCCAUCCCAGUGCAGGGGGGGAGCUCACUGCUGAUACUUUCCCUGCCCCCCUUUUUUCCUUGCUCAACAUUUUGAGCAGUGCCAGGAAGAGGCUGAAUUUCCCACAGUGCCCCUGGCCAACAGUUGCUGUGGGGCACCGUGGGAAAUUCAAGGGCAUCCAGGCACCCAGUCCGCCAGGGACUCCUGACAAAGGAGGGGCCUCUCCUGGGCUCAUCUUGCCCAUGGCUGUGAAUUCCCUUGAGAUCGGAAACUUGGACUGUCUCAACCAAGUGGAACCACGUAGCACCUGUUCUGAAGAACCUGCACCUGUUAUAUGGUAUUGAGCCCAAUUCAAGAAGUUAGCACGAACGUAAAAGGUCCUAAGGAGGGACGCAGGUGGCGCUGUGGUCUAAAACACAGAGCCUGGGGCUUGCCGACUGGAAGGUCGGUAGCUCAAAUCCCCACGAUGGGGUGAGCUCCCGUUGUUCGGUCCCUGCUCCUGCCAACCCAGCAGUUCAAAAGCAUGUCAAAGUGCAAGUAGAUAAAUAGGUACCACUCCGGCGGGAAGGUAAACGGCAUUUCCGUGCGCUACUCUGGUUUGCCAGAAGUGGCUUAGUCAUGCUGGCCACAUGACCCGAAAGCUGUCUGCUGACAAACGCUGGCUCCCUCGGCUAGUAAAGUGAGAUGAGCACUGCAACCUGAGUCGUCCGCGACUGGACCUAACGGUCAGGGGUACCUUUACCUUUACCUAAAAGGUCCUAAACAAUAACAUAAGACUCAGAUAUCUGAAGGAACUUCAGUCUCAACAAAAAUUGAUCGAGGUGUUUCAUGUUUUCUUUGUACAGUACUGGAGUACACCACAUUUGAUAGAAUCUAGUGCUAUGCUGAAUUUUCUCACCAUUCUCCAUAAAUGAGAAAAGGAAUUGCCUUUAAAAACUAUGAAAUGGGAGAGAAAAUGCCAGUGGACCUCGAGGUGCAGGGAGUACAAUCCUGUUAUUGUGCUUACCUUACUUUUGAGGCAAGGGGUGCCUUUCCUUUCUUUCACUCUGACAAUCAUCUCACUGGUGGUCUGCACUCCGCAGCCUUCCUAGAUGCCUGCAGUUCAAAGAAGCAUUGUUGGGUGGCUCCUCCUAUUACUUCCCACCCAGAUGAGGAAUUGUGGGCAGCCGGGGAGGCUGCAGAGUGUUGGGUAAAUGUUUCCGGGGAAGAAAAAAUACACACCAAUUUGGCCACCUUGCAGUGAAAGGAUAACCUCAAAACUCUGCACUCACAAAAAUCCUAAAGAAAGAGGCCUGAGACUGAUGCAUUUUUUUAAAAAACACCUCCCAGCAUUAAAUACACAGUGAUUCCAAAUUAAAUAACUAACAAUUGCUUUGCCUGUGUGUUUGGGCUAUUAUUUAUUCAAUUGCAGUCCUGGGCUCAUUGAAUUCACCUAGGACACCUUCCUCAAUAAUGUUCUUGUCUUCUCUUCAAUGCACCUUUUGAAAACACUGGGCAUUUCCUGACUCUCUGUCAUGCAUCACUCUCCUUUAUUGAUUUAACACUCAAGCUCCUUUUAUAGAACGGAAGCAUUUUGGCUACCUCUGGAAUAUAGUUCAUUCUCAAUAUAUGCUUUCUGCUCUUCUCUCUGUCUCCCAGUUUGCAUGAAGGUAGCAAGGGCCAGUGGUAAUAUAGUGAAAGUUGUAAGAUGUCCCAAGUAAUAUUAUCAUUUCAUUCUUGUAGGCUUCAGAGCUUCAGGAAAACAGCAUGAAAUAUUUCAAAUGAAUAUAAACAGGGGGAAAGUAAAUGAAAGGCCACUCCUAUGUGAGUUUACUCAGAAACAAAUCCCACUGAGUUUUAUUUGACUUACAUGUUAAUUUUUGGAGACUUAUAGCCUUGAAAUCAGAAUUUUCCACCCUCAGUGAAUUUCUGUCACCUCCAGAAAGUUUAGUUUAAAAAUAGGCUCAUAAUCCUCAGUGCAAUCAUCUCUUAUUAUCUUUUGCUCAUGCCAGGCUAACAGGAGGUUCUGGCCAGUACAGAUACACUUCUUAAAAUGAAUUUUAAAUGCAAGACAUUUUUCCUCCAUAUAUGGUGCACUGAUUUCUAGGUUCCUUUGUGGCACGUGUUGAGAGUCCGCUACCACAGUUCAGUAAUCGUGUAAACUCUAUAGAAAGUAUUUCCACAAUAACCUAGUGAAAGGCACAGAGCCUAGGGCUUGCUGAUCAGAAGGUCGGCAGUUCGAAUCCCUGUGAAGGGGGGAGCUCCCGUUCCUCGGUCCCUGCUCCUGCCAACCUAGCAGUUCGAAAGCACAUCAAGUGCAAGUAGAUAAAUAGGUACCGCUCCGGUGGGAAGGAAAACAGUGUUUCCGUGUGCUGCUCUGGUUUCGCCAGAAGUGGCUUAGUCAUGCUGGCCACAUGACCCGGAAGCUGUAAAGCGAGAUGAGCACGCAACCCCAGUGUCCGUGACUGGACCUAACCCUCAGGGGUACCUUUACCUUUAAUUGCACCUAAGCUUAUUGAUUUCAAGUUCAGUUUUUAAGGACAAAUGCAUUUCUGAAGCAGUUUUCAGGCUUUUCUUUUUUUAAAAAAACCCUUACGAAAAUUCAUCAGCAUUUUAGCAAUAAUUUCUCCCAAUAGACACAUUUUUAUAUGCAGUUUUCGCAAAUAUACACAUAUUUUUUUUUGCAAGCACUUUCCACUAAUUUAAUGCAACUCUAUUUGUUAUUUUCACAUAGGUGCAUUCACAUGCACACUUCCAAACCCUGUUAUGCAUAUUUUAGUACAUGUUGCUUGGCUGGAGAAACACAUUGCAAAAUUCAGAAAAGUGCAAAUUUGUAAGGAUGGAGGUGUUUGGUUCAUACAUUGUUAAAGAAAUUGUGGAUUUGGUAGCCUUUAAAUGCGAACUGAAUCUAAUUGCUCCCCUAUCCCUUCUCCCAGCCAUAGCAAGAGAAGUUGGGGAUUUAACCUAUGAUCAUCUGUACGCAAGGCAGAUUCUCUACCACUGAGCUGUGGCGCUUCCACAAAUUAAUGCUGCUCCCACAACCAUGACUUUAUAGUGCUUCAAUCUAUCACACACACACCAUAACCAACCACUGUUUUGACUGUCAUUGCUUCCUGCGUAAUAUUGGUGCCAAGAUCCUCUGCUGCUGCCUUUGGGGCAUUUUGCUAGUUAAUAAAUAUAACUGAAAGCACUGAUUAAUUCAUUGGUACAAUUUUAUGGUUAGUAAUCAUGGAUAUUAAAGUGAUUUGUGAACAGGCUUUAAUCAGGGCUGUUUGGCUUUGGAACGGAUACACAGUGCUGAUGAGUUUUCGGCAAACAGUCUCUCGAUUUGGGAGUUUCAUAGCUUUUAAUUCCAUGCUGCCUUCCUACCCCAAAAUGAUACAUGAUAGCUCAAAAGAAUAUAUUCAUUAAAAGGUAAAGGGACCCCUGACCAUUAGGUCCAGUCGUGGCCGACUCUGGGGUUGCGGCGCUCAUCUCGCUUUAUUGGCCAAGGGAGCCGGCGUACAGCUUCCGGGUCAUGUGGCCAGCAUGACUAAGCCGCUUCUGGCGAACCAGAGCAGCGCACGGAAACGCCGUUUACCUUCCCACUGGAGCGGUACCUAUUUAUCUACUUGCACUUUGACGUGCUUUCAAACUGCUAGGUUGGCAGGAGUAGGGACUGAGCAACAGGAGCUCACUCCAUCACAGGGAUUCGAACCGCCGACCUUCUGAUCAGCAAGUCCUAGGCUCUGUGGUUUAACCCACAGCGCCACCCACGUCCCUAUCUUCAUUGGUUAACCUUAAAAAAAAAAAAGAUUACCUGGAUGGAGACAUUGUGUAUUAGUAGCAACAACAACAAUUAUAACCCAAACAGAUUAUAGCCAAAAAGCAGAAAAAGAAAAGAGGUAAACAAACAAUCUCAGAAGCAUAUUACCGUAUUUUUCGCUCUAUAACACGCACCCGACCAUAACACGCACGUAGUUUUUAGAGGAGGAAAAUCCGUAGGCAUGCCACCCAUAGGCAUUCCCUCCAUAACACGCACAGACAUUUCCCCUUACUUUUUAGAGGAAAAAAGUGAGUGUUAUGGUGCAAAAAAUACAGUAAGGGCAAUAGUACUAGUUUUCUUUCAAAGAUUAGCUUGUUUUCAUGUGUGAAUGCGCACCCCAGUCAGUCACAAAUGAACAACCACACCCUAGGCCAGCGGUUCUCAACCUGUGGGUCCCCAGAUGUUGUUGGACUACAACUCCCAUCAUCCCUGAGCUCUGGCCUUGCUAGCUAGGGGUGAUGGGAGUUGUAGUUCAACAACAUCUGGGGACCCACAGGUUGAGAAAGGCUGCCCUAGGCCAACCCCAACUUCUCUCACCACCAAAGGAACACAAGCGAAUAGCAGAGAACCUGCACAAGCGACGCUGACACAAAACCCCACACGUAUAUUAAGUAAAACAGAAACAUUGCCACCUCACCCCACCCCACUCACCUUUCCCCCCUUUUCUUCUUAAUAUAACACUAAUGUCUCAACAAAUAAAACUGAUCUGUAAAAAUGUUACUUGGGGGGAAAAGAGAGAGCAAGAGAUUGCUCAUACUUUUGUAAACCAAUAAAAUCUUUAAUAAUAAUAAUAAUAAGCUUGUGUGUCAUCUCAGUUCUAAACGUAGUGGUCAUGAUCCAAGGAAAGGGAGUUGAGUGCAAAUGAACGCUGCACUCGAGUUUUCCAUAGGGGGCGGGGAAUCAGAUCCCAGAGCUGGGAUUGUGUCCAGUUAUCUCCGUUACAUGGAUCGUCUGCUUUUGGGUAAAGAAGAAAGAUGCCAAUGGUUGGGUUCAGCUCCCCAUUCCUAAUUCCAGAUUCACUUUGGAAGAGGCGCCGAUCAGCACCGUUUAAGAGAAUCUUACUGCAGUUGUUUGAUCACAGUUCAAGCCCAUGCACCAUAAUCUAUGCAUUAGAAUUCGUACAUUUAAUGCAGCUCUUGUGUCUUCUUAUCAUUCUUUUUAGUGAUGGGUUUUCCAUAUUUUUGGAGACGAGUAAGCGGCCACCUCAGAAACGACAGAAGAGGAGGAUGUGGAGAAGACAGCAAGAUUACAAGGCAGCAAAAUGACAAUGGCCACUGAAUAGAACAAACCAAAAUGGUAACAGAAAACAAUUGAAGUCUGGGUUGUAUUCAGCCAAGUCCUACUCAGAAUAGAACCAAUGAAAUAAAUCAACCUAACUUAGUCAUAUCCAUUAAUUAGCUUAAAUGGUAGGACUAGCGUUGACUACCAAC
RNAcentral lists this long non-coding RNA (8270 nucleotides) under Podarcis lilfordi (Lilford's wall lizard). The record is from RNAcentral. Lineage: Eukaryota; Metazoa; Chordata; Lepidosauria; Squamata; Lacertidae.